GACGGCGAUGGAGUUCGCCACAACCGCCUAAAUCUCGGGCUGAUGACUCCUACCAGU
RNAcentral lists this non-coding RNA (57 nucleotides) under Gorillibacterium timonense. Its description in RNAcentral is "Fluoride riboswitch". It matches the Rfam family "Fluoride riboswitch aptamer (crcB RNA motif)", at positions 10 to 62 of the family's 64-position model. The record is from RNAcentral. Lineage: Bacteria; Bacillati; Bacillota; Bacilli; Caryophanales; Paenibacillaceae.